This 752-nucleotide long non-coding RNA is filed under the name Marmota monax (woodchuck). The record is from RNAcentral. Lineage: Eukaryota; Metazoa; Chordata; Mammalia; Rodentia; Sciuridae.
CAGUCUCUGGAGUUCUUUUUAAAAAUUUGUGAUGUAUAGUGUGCCAAAUUAUGAAAGAAGAAGACUUCUGAUUACAACGAUAACAGAGGAGCUUAUACUGAGCUGACACUCCUGCUGGAAACAUCCGACACAGGUGGUUAAAACACAUCGUAUAAUCAGUUGAAGGCACUGGAAAGGGACGAAUGAAGAUGAUGUCUAAGACAAAGCAGCCACAUCCAAGUAAGCUUCAUAUUCAUCCUGGCCCAAUUCAUAGGGCAGGAAAUAGAGCAAGCAGCAGUUCCACUGAGCUGAAGAGACAGAGUGCUGUUCAAAGCUGCUAAUGUGGCUAGGCUGUGGUGGUAAUAAAAUCCCAGAGAGAAGUACUGCAGAGAAGCAAACCCCAAACUCCCUCCUUGAGAUGUUUGCCAACUUCUAAGCUGAGCAAGCACAGGCAGAGGCUGCAAGAAAAGGAAGAGAAGGCAGCAUCUUGGGAGGCUGAAGAGCUAUGCAAAGGUUUUUUGCAGCUCCUAGCUACUGAAGAGAGUGCUAGGAGGCCCACCCAGGUGGAAUAGCAACACCCACAUUUCUAGUUGAGAUCCCCCAAAGACUACAGCCUGGUAACAAAGGCAAAAAUGAAACAGACUUAACUUAAUAAAGCUUCAAACCUAGCUUAACAGGAUUUAGGUGACCCACCUGCAUUCUGUCUGCCUCCAUUUUAGGAGAACAUAAAAUAAUCCAGAGCCUCAUAAAGUUCAUAACCAAUAUGCUACAAU